AGUGAACGCUGGCGGUAGGCCUAACACAUGCAAGUCGAACGGCAGCACAGUAAGAGCUUGCUCUUACGGGUGGCGAGUGGCGGACGGGUGAGGAAUACAUCGGAAUCUACUUUUUCGUGGGGGAUAACGUAGGGAAACUUACGCUAAUACCGCAUACGACCUACGGGUGAAAGCAGGGGAUCUUCGGACCUUGCGCGAGUGAAUGAGCCGAUGUCGGAUUAGCUAGUUGGCGGGGUAAAGGCCCACCAAGGCGACGAUCCGUAGCUGGUCUGAGAGGAUGAUCAGCCACACUGGAACUGAGACACGGUCCAGACUCCUACGGGAGGCAGCAGUGGGGAAUAUUGGACAAUGGGCGCAAGCCUGAUCCAGCCAUACCGCGUGGGUGAAGAAGGCCUUCGGGUUGUAAAGCCCUUUUGUUGGGAAAGAAAUCCAGCCGGCUAAUACCUGGUUGGGAUGACGGUACCCAAAGAAUAAGCACCGGCUAACUUCGUG
RNAcentral lists this ribosomal RNA (492 nucleotides) under uncultured bacterium. RNAcentral describes it as "partial 16S ribosomal RNA". It matches the Rfam family "Bacterial small subunit ribosomal RNA", at positions 29 to 507 of the family's 1533-position model. The record is from RNAcentral.